AGGUUUAAGGUUUUUGGCGUUAGGGUUAAAAUCACUGUCCAAAACCUUUUAAGGAACAAGAUUCAGACCUUUUGGAGUUGGUUACACCAAAAAAAAUGUAAAAUGAAAAAAAAAAUAUUUGGGGUGUUCGGGCUUCCUGAAGGUAAUACCCUUCAGGUUUAAGUAUUAGGUUAUGGGGCUAGGAUUAGGUUUAAGGUUUUUGGCGUAAGGGUUAAAAUCACUGUCCAAUAUUUUUUCAGGAACAUGUUUCAGA
Xyrichtys novacula (pearly razorfish) is the source of this 253-nucleotide non-coding RNA. The record is from the annotation of a GenBank genome assembly. Lineage: Eukaryota; Metazoa; Chordata; Actinopteri; Labriformes; Labridae.